CAAAAGGGCUGUGAGGGGCGUGCCCGUCUGCUGGUUUCCCUGGCAACUAAUGAGCCAACCUGACAUCAAUUCCCCCUAUAAAUGGCAAUCUCCCCUUCUGCCACCAUUUCCAGCUUGCUGCCGUCUGCUACGUGUGGUAGAAGGUGACUCCAGGACCUUGCUUGAGAUUGCCCCUCCACAUACCUGACUCCAGGGAUAUCACAGAAGGGGGGGGGGCCAAGGUUAUAAAGUCAUGCAGGAUUGAUUCUCCUCCUCAUGCAGUGGUUGGAAGAAUGAGGGGCAGCUGUGGUCCCCUUAGUGAGCCCUGAGUCCAGCCACUUAGGCCUC
Non-coding RNA from Sus scrofa (pig), 327 nucleotides. The record is from RefSeq and is a predicted model, not a curated record. Lineage: Eukaryota; Metazoa; Chordata; Mammalia; Artiodactyla; Suidae.